UUCACCCAAAGAGAGAAGAUACUCUGUACUAUCUCACUAAGGGUAACACCACUUUUACUAAGUCAUAUCACAAGCACAUUAGUGGGUCUCUAUACUAAAUAAUAACGCCAUCUCCUUUGACAGGCAGGGUCGCGCAUCAAUCCACCGCAACUCAUGAGUUGUUCUCAUAUCUCGGAAUGCGAGGAACAGAAAAAGUCCCAAUAUUGAGCAAAGAGACACCAAAAGACAGUAGACAUACUACCCUACACCAAGCACGGAUGAGCACAAGGAAGACGUGGAAGAAGAAUAAAAUCUCUUAUAGUCACAUAGAUUACUUUUCAAUAGUUCGAUUUAUUUGUUUUUUACAAGUUAUUUCCCUUCGCCUCACGGAAGCUUAUGACAAUUCGCAUUUCUUAUUAAUGAUUAAAUCAAGUUUUUACUUUA
Non-coding RNA from Erythranthe guttata (spotted monkey flower), 423 nucleotides. The record is from RefSeq and is a predicted model, not a curated record. Lineage: Eukaryota; Viridiplantae; Streptophyta; Magnoliopsida; Lamiales; Phrymaceae.